AUACGGAGGGUGCGAGCGUUAAUCGGAAUUACUGGGCGUAAAGUGCGCGUAGGCGGAUAAUUAAGUCAGAUGUGAAAUCCCCGGGCUCAACCUGGGAACUGCAUUUGAUACUGAUUAACUAGAGUAUGGUAGAGGUGAGUGGAAUUUCCGGUGUAGCGGUGAAAUGCGUAGAGAUCGGAAGGAACACCAGUGGCGAAGGCGACUUCCUGGCCAAAAACUGACGCUGAGGUGCGAAAGCGUGGGUAGCAAACGGGAUUAGAAACCCUUGUAGUCC
RNAcentral lists this ribosomal RNA (274 nucleotides) under uncultured bacterium. RNAcentral's name for it is "partial 16S ribosomal RNA". It matches the Rfam family "Bacterial small subunit ribosomal RNA", at positions 523 to 796 of the family's 1533-position model. The record is from RNAcentral.